CCCUUAGAUGUUCUGGGCCGCACGCGCGCUACACUGACGAAUGCAACGAGCUUAUAACCUUGGCCGAAAGGUCUGGGUAAUCUCCAAAUUUCGUCGUGAUGGGGAUAGAUUAUUGCAAUUAUUAAUCUUCAACGAGGAAUGCCUAGUAAGCGCAAGUCAUCAGCUUGCGUUGAUUACGUCCCUGCCCUUUGUACACACCGCCCGUCGCUCCUACCGAUUGUAUGGUCCGGUGAAGCGCUCGGACCGCGGCCUCUUGACGGUUUUCCGUCGAUUGGCUGUGGGAAGUUCGUUAAACCUUAUCAUUUAGAGGAAGGAGAAGUCGUAACA
Molecule: ribosomal RNA, 327 nt
Filed under: uncultured eukaryote
Lineage: Eukaryota
Description: partial 18S ribosomal RNA
Rfam family: Eukaryotic small subunit ribosomal RNA
Source: RNAcentral